RNAcentral lists this ribosomal RNA (332 nucleotides) under uncultured bacterium. RNAcentral describes it as "bacterial SSU rRNA". It matches the Rfam family "Bacterial small subunit ribosomal RNA", at positions 568 to 898 of the family's 1533-position model. The record is from RNAcentral.
CGUGUAGGCGGUCGCAUAAGUCGGAUGUGAAAGCCCUCGGCUCAACCGGGGAAGUGCACCCGAAACUGUGUGACUGGAGUCUCGGAGAGGAUAGUGGAAUUCUCGGUGUAGAGGUGAAAUUCGUAGAUAUCGAGAGGAACACCGGUGGCGAAGGCGGCUAUCUGGACGAUGACUGACGCUGAGACGCGAAAGCGUGGGGAGCAAACAGGAUUAGAUACCCUGGUAGUCCACGCCGUAAACGAUGGGUGCUAGGUGUCGCGGGCUUUGACCCCUGCGGUGCCGCAGCUAACGCAUUAAGCACCCCGCCUGGGGAGUACGGCCGCAAGGCUAAA